This 340-nucleotide long non-coding RNA is filed under the name Capsicum annuum. Its description in RNAcentral is "long non-coding RNA (CANN_LNC009454)". The record is from RNAcentral. Lineage: Eukaryota; Viridiplantae; Streptophyta; Magnoliopsida; Solanales; Solanaceae.
UCGGAGGUGAGUUUCUCAUGUAGAGAUCUGAGAUCGAAUUCAACCUUCGUCUGCUGCUCGGUCAUGAGCUCAUCGCAUAUGGCUUGCCUAGUGUAGUUUACAUCUAUAUAUUUGUGAGAUAUUGUAAAGUGAAAAAGUUAAAUAAAGUGCUGGAGGUUGUGACAAAAGUUAUGAAUUUCUUAGAAAUUCCCAUAAACAAAAAAAAAAAAUCCAACAGAGGAAGUAAUACUUUUGUUAGUAGUUUCAAAUAACGAGAAUUUUAUAUUCAACAACCAAAAGGUUUUUAUAUUCGAAUUCCAAGCACAAUUUCCACGUUUUAACACCAAAACAAUAUUUAAUA